ACGGAAGGCAGCAGUGGGGAAUAUUGGACAAUGGGGGGAACCCUGAUCCAGCCAUGCCGCGUGUGUGAAGAAGGCCUUUUGGUUGUAAAGCACUUUAAGCGAGGAGGAGGCUUACCUGGUUAAUACCUGGGAUAAGUGGACGUUACUCGCAGAAUAAGCACCGGCUAACUCUGUGCCAGCAGCCGCGGUAAUACAGAGGGUGCAAGCGUUAAUCGGAUUUACUGGGCGUAAAGCGCGCGUAGGUGGCUAAUUAAGUCAAAUGUGAAAUCCCCGAGCUUAACUUGGGAAUUGCAUUCGAUACUGGUUAGCUAGAGUAUGGGAGAGGAUGGUAGAAUUCCAGGUGUAGCGGUGAAAUGCGUAGAGAUCUGGAGGAAUACCGAUGGCGAAGGCAGCCAUCUGGCCUAAUACUGACACUGAGGUGCGAAAGCAUGGGGAGCAAACAGGAUUAGAUACCCUGGUA
Molecule: ribosomal RNA, 460 nt
Filed under: uncultured Acinetobacter sp.
Lineage: Bacteria; Pseudomonadati; Pseudomonadota; Gammaproteobacteria; Moraxellales; Moraxellaceae
Description: bacterial SSU rRNA
Rfam family: Bacterial small subunit ribosomal RNA
Source: RNAcentral